This 404-nucleotide ribosomal RNA is filed under the name Actinomycetes bacterium. RNAcentral's name for it is "Actinobacteria bacterium partial 16S ribosomal RNA". It matches the Rfam family "Bacterial small subunit ribosomal RNA", at positions 355 to 776 of the family's 1533-position model. Lineage: Bacteria; Bacillati; Actinomycetota; Actinomycetes. The record is from RNAcentral.
UGGGGAAUAUUGGACAAUGGGCGCAAGCCUGAUCCAGCCAUGCCGCGUGAGUGAUGAAGGCCCUAGGGUUGUAAAGCUCUUUCACCGGUGAAGAUAAUGACGGUAACCGGAGAAGAAGCCCCGGCUAACUUCGUGCCAGCAGCCGCGGUAAUACGAAGGGGGCUAGCGUUGUUCGGAUUUACUGGGCGUAAAGCGCACGUAGGCGGACUAUUAAGUCAGGGGUGAAAUCCCGGGGCUCAACCCCGGAACUGCCUUUGAUACUGGUAGUCUUGAGUUCGGGAGAGGUGAGUGGAAUUCCGGGUGUAGGGGUGAAAUUCGUAGAUAUUCGGAGGAACCCCAGUGGCGAAGGCGGCUCACUGGCUCGAUACUGACGCUGGGGUGCGAAAGCGUGGGGAGCAAACAGG